Molecule: ribosomal RNA, 561 nt
Filed under: Dacrymyces lacrymalis
Lineage: Eukaryota; Fungi; Basidiomycota; Dacrymycetes; Dacrymycetales; Dacrymycetaceae
Description: eukaryotic LSU rRNA
Rfam family: Eukaryotic large subunit ribosomal RNA
Source: RNAcentral
CGGAGGAAAAGAAACUAACAAGGAUUCCCCUAGUAACUGCGAGUGAAGCGGGAAAAGCUCAAAUUUAAAAUCCCUCGGGAAUUGUAAUCUAGAGAAGUGUUUUCGGUCGUUGCCUCGGACAAGUCCUUUGGAACAAGGCGUCAUAGAGGGUGAGAAUCCCGUCCUUGCCGAGCUACCAACGUCUAUGUGAUACACUCUCGAAGAGUCGAGUUGUUUGGGAAUGCAGCUCAAAACGGGUGGUAAACUCCAUCUAAAGCUAAAUAUUGGCGAGAGACCGAUAGCGAACAAGUACCGUGAGGGAAAGAUGAAAAGCACUUUGGACAGAGAGUUAAACAGUACGUGAAAUUGUUGAAAGGGAAACGCUUGAAGUCAGUCGCGUUGCAGGGACUCAGCCGCAAGGUGCAUUUCCCGGUAACGGGUCAACAUCAGUUUCGAGCGCGGGAAAAGGGCUUGGGGAAUGUGGCAGCCUCGGCUGUGUUAUAGCCCCCUGUCGUACACCGCGCCCGGGACUGAGGACCGCUAAUAGGAUGUUGACGUAAUGGCUUUAAGCGACCCGUCUUG